Non-coding RNA from Macaca mulatta (Rhesus monkey), 4781 nucleotides. The record is from RefSeq and is a predicted model, not a curated record. Lineage: Eukaryota; Metazoa; Chordata; Mammalia; Primates; Cercopithecidae.
UCUUGACCUCAGGUGAUCCGCCCACCUUAGCCUCCCAAAGUGCUGGGAUUACAGGCGUGAGUCACCACAUCCGGCCAGAAAUCUAGCUUUUUUGGACAGUAAAACCUGUACUUUUUUCACUAUGCCACAUGGUUUACACCCUCAGUAAGCCAUGAACUGCCUGAGAACAAGUUACAGGCAUCACCGGAGGCUCUGGAGUGACACUGCCGGGUGGAAUGCAGAUGGGACGCCCUGAGGGGGCACGGAAGGGCUUGGUGAAAGACAUGUCCCUGGAGGGGGUGGACUGGUGGAGCAUGUUCACUGGGAGAACUGGUGGGGUAAACCCAGAGUGAAGAAGAGGAACAGAGCCCCCAAGGGGCUGAGAACCUUGAUAAAUGAACACUUAGAGCUCUCUGUGCCUGGGGCCUAUCAGGGACAACUCUGUUUUAGCAUAGGUGGCAUCUAACAUGAAAUACCCACAAUGGGUAAAUCCGCAAGACAGAAAGCGGACUGGAGGUUGCUAAGGGCUGUGGGUGGUGAGGGGAAGGUGGAAGCACCUGUUUCAUGGGUACUGCUUUUCCUUUGGGGGUGAAAACAAAUGGGUUGGAACAAGAAAGAGGUGGUGGUCAUAUAACACUGUGAAUGUACUAAAUGCUACUGAGUUUUUCACUUUAAAAUAGCUAAUUUUAUCUUAUGUGAAUUUCACCUCAAUAGAAAAAGUACAGUGAAGGUGAUGGAGGCCCAAGAGUGGUGGACCCUUCUUCUUCAGGGUACUGCAUUUGUCCUGGGGUCUUUGUCCCUGAUCACUCUCCAAGGGGCUGAGUGGUGGGUUGAUCUCAGUGCCUCACCCCCACCUCACUAGGCCAGGAGUGCAUUGUAGGGUCUAAUUGUCCAUGUGGGCUUCCAGGAACAUUUUGUAAACUGUUGAUUAUUUCUAGUAAAUUAAUUUGCAGGCAUAAUUCCAUUUUACAGUUGUCAGAGCAGCCGAAAUCUGCCCUGGGGAGUCACAACCUGUUGUGAUUAAAACUGUCUCAACUCAGUUUCUAGAUGGGCAUUCACUCGGCAUGGAAAGAAGAUCCAGGAUGAGUUGACCUGGGGGCGCUGGCUGGGCAGCUUCACACUUGAAUCUGACCAGCAGCCACUUUCUAGCUGCCCCCUGGUGAUAUUCUCCAUUUGGUUCACAUUUUCUAAGUGCACUUUUACCCAUGGGCUCUCCUUUUCUCUUCACAACAGCCUCUGGGGACAUGUUUUAAGGGAAGGUUCAGAGAGGGCCAGCAGUAUGAAGAGGUCACACAGUCAGGAAAUGCAAAGCUGAGAUGCACACGUUACAGGUCUGCUGAAUUCCUGUUUGAAGUAAGACUUGUCUCAACAUUUCGUUCGGUACAAACUACAUACUUAGUGCCACAUGGUAGAAUGGUGCAACUGGGAAUUCGAGAACAUGCCCCUUAGAUUUGGCCCUUAAAAAGGAACUGACAUCGUACCCUGGGAAACAGGAAGACUGCCGGUGCUGCUGGAGUUGCUCGUUAGUAAUAAGCUACGUACCUUCUCUUUGCCUCAGUUGCGUAGAAUGUAGAUAAUAAUAAUGGUUUAUUCAUUGGGCUGUUGUGAGGAUUAAGUAGAUUAAAUAAGAUAAUCUAUACCAAGAGUUUAGCAGGAUGCCUGGCCCGUAGUGAGUGCUCCAUGAACAUCAGGCAUUACUAACAGUCGAAUCAUCACUCCAACCUCUGCUUCCUCUGCCAUGCCUCCCCAUCGUCCAUAGUUACCCAAAGCAGAAAUCUGGGAACCCUCCUAAAUGCCAUCCUCCUUAGCCUCAUGAAUGAUCAGUCUCCAAAUUCUGUGUGUUUUGUAUCUUCAGCAUCUUUUUGUCUGCCUCUUCCUAUCAAUGAUAGAUCAUCCUGUCUCCAAAGUCAGUGAUCACACUUGUUCAUUAAGCAUUGGAUGAGUGAAUAUUGAAUGCUUUCCUAGUACAUGCUGGGCAUUGUGCUGUGUUAUUCUGAAUCCCACCUGGAUCCUACCACUGAGCCCGAAGCUGAGCUUGAGCCUACAGGGACUUCCUUCCCUGCACCGUUGUGUGUGCCUGUUCCUGUUCUCAAUCCUGAGGGCUCAAGAGAGAAGGAGUCCCGUCAUGCUUGUCUGUGUGUUCCCAGGGCCUUGACAGCUGCUGGCCCAGCCCACAAGCUCCAGUAGCGCAGGGUGCACCCAGCAGUGCAGAAUGGCUGUGUGUGCUGAGAUGUUCCCCAUCAAUCCUUGUCACACCUGGCAGCCCCAAGUCCGUUUAGAACUCAGGAUAGAAGCAGCAGCAGAGUGAUCCUGUCCUGGCUGUCAUGCCCAGUCAAGCGACAGAUGUCUGCAGUCCUAGAGAGGGUAACAUUCCCUCCCCCUGCCCCACAUACACACUUGGAGCUGAUGAUAGAACACAACAAUACUGAUGUCAUAAUCCCUGUGCCACCAGAAUGAUGUCACUGGCUGCUCAGAAUCCCAGCACUUAGACGCGAGAGAACUAUACAGGUUUAGAGCUAGAAGGACAGGUGUGAGCCACAUAUCUGAACAACAGCAACCAUGAUUUACCAGCUGCCAUGUUAAGGAUUACAUGUGUAUUACCUCUUUAGUUCUCCCCCAGCCACCCAACAGGAUAAACGCUACGAUGAUCUUCAUUUUUCUGAUGAGGAGGCAGAGGCAUUUGGAGGUGUAGUGGGCCAAAUCAUUGCCCGCUAAAAGCUAUGUUCAAGUCCUAACUCCUGGGACCCGUGAAUAGGGCCAUAUUUGAAAAUAAGGUCUUUGUAAAUGUAAUCAAGUAUCUCAAGAUAAAAUCAUCCUGGAUUUAGAUUGGGCCUUAACUCCAACGACUGAUGUCUUUAUAAGAGAAAAGAAAGACCUGAGACACAGAGAAGAUGGCCAUGUGAAGACAAAGGCAGAUAGGAGCCAUGCGGCCACAAGCCCAGGAAGGCCUGGAGCUCCUGGAAGCUGAAAGAGGCAGAAGAAUCCUCCUGUGGGGUCUUCCGAGGGGCACAUGGUCCUGCUGGCCCCUUGAUAUUGGACUUUCAGCCUCCACAACUGUGGGAAAAUGAAUUUCCAUUGUUUCAGGCCACUCGGUAGUAAUUUGUUUUGCAGCCACAAGAAAUGAAUACAAGGGGUAAGGAACUUGCCAAGGUCACCCAGCUAGCAUAGCAGAGCUGGGAUUAGCACCUCUUGGUUUUCUGACUUCAGGGACCUUUCCCCUGUUCUGGGUAACUGACAGAAGUAAUUGAGUUACCCGGGGAUUGGUGCCCUGGUACACCCUUCCACCCUCCUUCCUUCCCUCCCAGGGCCUGGUGCUUAGCCCAGUAUACAGAAGGCACUUAAUAAAUGUGUGGACUGGCUCUUUCACCCUGAUGCCAUAGGGCUUGUCUGGCUCACUGAUGUCUGCAUCAGAGGUGGAAACAGCUCACAGCAUCUCGAGAUGUCAGCAUCGCAGGGCCGAAGGGUCCUGUGAAACUCAUCGUGUUCACACAUGUCCUUGUUAGAACCGGACACUGGACCCGAGGAGGAAGAGGGGCUUGCCUCAACCACCCAGUAGUGCCUCUGAAGUCAAGUCUAGAAUUCUUGGUCCUGACUCCGAGGUUCAGGGAAUUCCCAUGACUGUCACAGUGAUACUCAGCUGCCAAGUCUGCAUGAUUCUACCUCCUAAUCACGUGUGUGCCCUCCCUUCCUCGCCAAGUCUGCAUGAUUCUACCUCCUAAUCGCGUGUGUGCCCUCCCUUCCUCGCCAAGUCUGCAUGACUCUACCUCCUAAUCGCGUGUGUACCCUCCCUUCCUCGCCACGUCUGUAUGGUUCUACCUCCUAAUCGCGUGUGUACCCUCCCUUCCUCGCCACGUGUGCAUGACUCUACCUCCUAAUCGCGUGUGUACCCUCCCUUCCUCACCAAGUCUGCAUGACUCUACCUCCUAAUCGCGUGUGUACCCUCCCUUCCUCGCCUUUGCUCACAUGCUGCUCAUGUUCCGAUGCUCGCUUUCCCUUCUAGUACCCUAGGACCAGCAUAGCUUCCAAGCUGGUCCUCUGGCCCCUGAGACUCCUCCAAUCUGUCCUUCUCACUGCUGACCGGGGAGUCAGUUUUCUGACAUGCCACAGAUGAUGGUAUUCCCUGCUAAAAGAUCUUCCCAUCACGGUGGCUGUUUCAUAAACUGUGUUGCUUGCAAUGCCACUGGCUCCAUGUCCUUCCAGCUCUAAACCUGUGUAGUUCUCUCGCGUCUUAAGUGCUGGGAUUCUGAGUAGCCAAUGACAUCAUUUUGGUGGCACAGGGAUUAUGACAUCAAUAUUGUUGUGUUCUAUCAUCAUCCUUGGAGCCUUUCGUGUGCUGAUGUGCUUUGGUGAUGUUCACAGAGGCCCAACUCAAUAGCAGGCAUGGCUUGGAAAUGUAUUUGACUUGAUCCUAGAAUCUUUCCUAGUUUUAAUUUUUGGCGGAACACAAAGUACUAGGGGCUGGGGACCAGUCUGGCCCAGAGGGUAGUUCAAAUCCACAGCCCAGCACGGAGGCCCCAAGCUGUCUUGUGCUGCCUCGUUUGCCUGGCUCCACGCUGAGUGCUGUUCCUGGAACACCCUCUCUCUGUCUCUGGUCCUGCCACUCUUUCCCAGCUCACAGAAGGUGCAGCCCUAGGGUUACAUCCUCCAGGAACCUACCAUGUGCCAGACAAGGAUCUUCACAGCUCCUUGAGGGCAGAGACUGUCUUGUUCUCUCUGGUGCCUCAUCCCUUGCCUGGUACCAAGAAGAUACAAAGGAAAAAUCUGUUGACUGACUAAAUAAAUAAACGGUCAUAAUAAAAAUA